Pelobates cultripes (western spadefoot toad) is the source of this 437-nucleotide non-coding RNA. Lineage: Eukaryota; Metazoa; Chordata; Amphibia; Anura; Pelobatidae. The record is from the annotation of a GenBank genome assembly.
GGUAAAUGCACUAAAUAUACAUGUCAGUCAGAAUGUUUUAUGUUUUCAAGAAUAAAUGUGUGUGUAGUGGAUGCAGUGAGAGUAUUUGAUUAGUGAAUUUAGUGUCUGUUUAUGUGGUGGAUGCAGUGUCUGUUUGUGUAGUGGAUGCAGAGUGUUUGUAUAAUGAAUGCAGAGUGUGUGUUUGUGUAGUGUGUGUAUAGUGGAUGCAGUGUGUUUGUGUAGUGUGUGUAUAGUGGAUGCAAAGUGUGUUUGUGUAGUGUGUGUACAAUGAAUGCAAAGGGUGUUUGUGUAGUGUGUGUAUAGUGAAUGCAGUGUGUUUGUGUAGUGUGUGUAUAUAAUGAAUGCAGUGUGUGUUUGUGUAGUGUGUGUAUAGUGAAUGCAGUGAGUGUUUGUGUAGUGUGUAUAUAAUAAAUGCAGAGUGUUUGUGUAGUGUGUGU